This is a long non-coding RNA of Ananas comosus (pineapple), 602 nucleotides long. RefSeq lists it as uncharacterized. The transcript has 2 exons. NCBI's taxonomy places the organism in Eukaryota, Viridiplantae, Streptophyta, Magnoliopsida, Poales, Bromeliaceae. The record is from RefSeq and is a predicted model, not a curated record.
CCCAUUUCCCAAAAUCCUGCUUUGUUUUUGAACCUACACCCCCACUCUUGUUUCAUUCACUCUCUCUCUCUCUUCUUCUCUCUGUUGCUUUAAAACCAUCCUAUUUUCCCUUCACAACAUCAUAUCUUCACCCUUUGCUCACAAAAAUUGAUGGUAUUUUUUGAUGUCAGUGUGUUCAGGGUAUUUGGUCAGCAGUGGUAAUUGGAUCCACUCUUCUUGUCUGAACCCUGGCAUGACAACUAGUUGCUGACAAAUCAACAUUAUUUGAGUAAAACUAGAAAGAGGCUUCUUACCUUGGCAUCAUUUUCAGUCAUGAUAUAUAUUCGAAUUGAUGAUCGAAUUCAUUAAACAGAUCUUUCCAAAUACAUCUUUUCUUUUCCAAUUUAAACUAUCAGUUUCGAGACCAGUUGAGUACUCGAUAAAUGACGUCGAGAAAUCUCUAAUUUGGUUUUUUGUAAGAUCAAGUGUUGGAGGUCAUAUUUAACCGUGUUGGUCGGUAAUUCAGAUUCUGUAUUGUUAGAAAUGAUUCUAUGGCACUUCUUAUUUUAGGGCUUUUGUAUUUACCUUUUACUACUAUUCAAAAAUUUCAAAUUUACCCUAAA